UACAGGGGGUGCAAGCGUUGCUCGGAAUUAUUGGGCGUAAAGCGCGCGUAGGCGGCUACUUAAGUCGGAUGUGAAAGCCCUCGGCUUAACUGAGGAAGUGCACCCGAAACUGAGUAGCUAGAGUACUAAAGAGGGUCGCGGAAUUCCCGGUGUAGAGGUGAAAUUCGUAGAUAUCGGGAGGAACACCGGUGGCGAAGGCGGCGACCUGGGUAGAUACUGACGCUGAGGCGCGAAAGCGUGGGGAGCAAACAGG
RNAcentral lists this ribosomal RNA (253 nucleotides) under uncultured bacterium. Its description in RNAcentral is "partial 16S ribosomal RNA". It matches the Rfam family "Bacterial small subunit ribosomal RNA", at positions 524 to 776 of the family's 1533-position model. The record is from RNAcentral.